Molecule: ribosomal RNA, 162 nt
Filed under: uncultured bacterium
Lineage: Bacteria
Description: partial 16S rRNA
Rfam family: Bacterial small subunit ribosomal RNA
Source: RNAcentral
GGAAUCUUCCACAAUGGGCGAAAAGCCUGAUGGAGCAACGCCGCGUGUGUGAUGAAGGGUUUCGGCUCGUAAAACACUGUUGUAAGAGAAGAAUGACAUUGAGAGUAACUGUUCAAUGUGUGACGGUAUCUUACCAGAAAGGAACGGCUAAAUACGUGCCAG